Long non-coding RNA from Mytilus californianus (California mussel), 760 nucleotides. RefSeq lists it as uncharacterized. The record is from RefSeq and is a predicted model, not a curated record. Lineage: Eukaryota; Metazoa; Mollusca; Bivalvia; Mytilida; Mytilidae. The transcript is spliced from 2 exons.
UUAUGACGUUGGCGUCAUUGUCGUCCGAAGACACGUUUGUUUUCGCACUCUAACUUUAGUUUAAGUGAAUGGAUCUCUAUGAAAUUUUACCAUAAGGUUCAAUAUCACAAAAGGAAGGUUGGGAUUGAUUUUGGGGGUUAUGGUACCAACAGUUAAGGAAUUAGGGCCAAAAAUAAGCAUUUUUGUAACUUCUAGACAUAACUUGUGUGUUAGUGUAUGGAUCUCUCUGACAUUGUACCACAAGGUUCCAUAUCACAAAGGGAAUGCUGGGAUUGAUUUGGGGGGUAAUUGCCUCAAAAUUAUAGGAAUUAGGGGCAAAAAAAGGGGCAAAAAACAAGCAUUUUUCUAGUUUCAUGACAAUAACUUGUGUUUAAGUGUAUGGAUCUUUCUGAAAUUGUACUACAAGGUUCCAUAUCACAAAGGGAAAGCUGGAAUUGAGUUUGGGGGUAAUUGUCUAAAACGUUUAGGAAUUUGGGGCCAAAAAGGGGCUAAAAACAAGCAUUUUUCUAGUUUCCAGACAAUAACUUGUGUUCAAGUGUAUGGAUCUCUCUGAAAUUGUACUGCAAGGUACCAUACCACAAAGGGAAGGCUGGGAUUGAGUUUGGGGGUGAUGAAUCAUAAGGGGGUUCAAAAAAUUUGGGGGAGGGAUUUUUUUUUCUUUAAAAUUUUCCAUUUUAAAUUGGUUAUUUCUGAUUUAUAUAUAAAAGCAAAUAAUAAUGAUAUGGUUUGAAUAGGUAAAUUAAAAAUUUUAAAGUUCUUA